This 67-nucleotide transfer RNA is filed under the name Stenophyella macreta. RNAcentral describes it as "tRNA-Phe". Lineage: Eukaryota; Metazoa; Arthropoda; Insecta; Hemiptera; Pachygronthidae. The record is from RNAcentral.
AUCUAAAUAGCUUAAAUUUAAAGCAUAAUAUUGAAGAUAUUAUUAUGGAUUUUAUGUCCUUUAGAUA